This 426-nucleotide ribosomal RNA is filed under the name uncultured bacterium. RNAcentral's name for it is "bacterial SSU rRNA". It matches the Rfam family "Bacterial small subunit ribosomal RNA", at positions 356 to 773 of the family's 1533-position model. The record is from RNAcentral.
GAGGAAUAUUGCGCAAUGGGGGCAACCCUGACGCAGCGACGCCGCGUGGAUGAUGAAGGCCUUCGGGUCGUAAAAUCCUGUCAGAUGGAAAGAAGUGUUAUGUGGAUAAUACCCAUGUAGCUUGACGGUACCAUCGAAGGAAGCACCGGCUAACUCCGUGCCAGCAGCCGCGGUAAUACGGAGGGUGCAAGCGUUGUUCGGAAUUACUGGGCGUAAAGCGCGCGUAGGCGGUUUUAUAAGUCAGAUGUGAAAGCCCAUGGCUUAACCAUGGACGUGCAUUUGAAACUGUGAGACUUGAGUAUUGGAGGGGGUGGUGGAAUUCCCGGUGUAGAGGUGAAAUUCGUAGAUAUCGGGAGGAAUACCAGUGGCGAAGGCGACCACCUGGCCAAAUACUGACGCUAAUGUGCGAAAGCGUGGGGAGCAAAC